GUGCUCACUUCAGCAUCACAUAUACUAAAAUUGGGAUGAUACAGAGAAGAUUAGCAUGGCCCCUGUGCAAGAAAGAAACAUAAAUUUAUGAAGCGUUUCAUAUUUUU
Small nuclear RNA from Psammomys obesus (fat sand rat), 107 nucleotides. Lineage: Eukaryota; Metazoa; Chordata; Mammalia; Rodentia; Muridae. The record is from RefSeq and is a predicted model, not a curated record.